GAUGAACGCUGGCGGCGUGCUUAACACAUGCAAGUCGAACGAAGCACCUUGAUUUGAUUCUUCGGAUGAAGAUCUUGGUGACUGAGUGGCGGACGGGUGAGUAACGCGUGGGUAACCUGCCUCAUACAGGGGGAUAACAGUUAGAAAUGACUGCUAAUACCGCAUAAGACCACAGCACCGCAUGGUGCAGGGGUAAAAACUCCGGUGGUAUGAGAUGGACCCGCGUCUGAUUAGGUAGUUGGUGGGGUAACGGCCUACCAAGCCGACGAUCAGUAGCCGACCUGAGAGGGUGACCGGCCACAUUGGGACUGAGACACGGCCCAAACUCCUACGGGAGGCAGCAGUGGGGAAUAUUGUACAAUGGGGGAAACCCUGAUGCAGCGACGCCGCGUGAGCGAUGAAGUAUUGCGGUAUGUAAAGCUCUAUCAGCAGGGAAGAAAAUGACGGUACCUGACUAAGAAGCACCGGCUAAAUACGUG
Molecule: ribosomal RNA, 479 nt
Filed under: uncultured bacterium
Lineage: Bacteria
Description: partial 16S ribosomal RNA
Rfam family: Bacterial small subunit ribosomal RNA
Source: RNAcentral